UGGGGAAUAUUGCACAAUGGGGGAAACCCUGAUGCAGCGACGCCGCGUGAGCGAAGAAGGCUUUCGAGUCGUAAAGCUCUGUCCUAUGAGAAGAUAAUGACGGUAUCAUAGGAGGAAGCCCUGGCUAAAUACGUGCCAGCAGCCGCGGUAAUACGUAUGGGGCGAGCGUUGUCCGGAAUUAUUGGGCGUAAAGGGUACGUAGGCGGUUUUUUAAGUCAGGUGUCAAAGCGUGGAGCUUAACUCCAUUAAGCACUUGAAACUGAAAGACUUGAGUGAAGGAGAGGAAAGUGGAAUUCCUAGUGUAGCGAUGAAAUGCGUAGAUAUUAGGAGGAAUACCGGUGGCGAAAGCGGCUUUUUGGCCUGCAACUGACACUGAGGCGCGAAAGCGUGGGGAGCAAACAGG
This 403-nucleotide ribosomal RNA is filed under the name Verrucomicrobiota bacterium. RNAcentral's name for it is "Verrucomicrobia bacterium partial 16S ribosomal RNA". It matches the Rfam family "Bacterial small subunit ribosomal RNA", at positions 355 to 776 of the family's 1533-position model. The record is from RNAcentral. Lineage: Bacteria; Pseudomonadati; Verrucomicrobiota.